AUUGAACGCUGGCGGCAGGCUUAACACAUGCAAGUCGAGCGGGGUGAUGGUGCUUGCACUAUCACUUAGCGGCGGACGGGUGAAUAAUGCUUAGGAAUCUGCCUAUUAGUGGGGGACAACAUCUCGAAGGGGAUGCUAAUACCGCAUACGUCCUACGGGAGAGAGCAGGGGAUCACUUGUGACCUUGCGCUAAUAGAUGAGCCUAAGUCGGAUUAGCUAGUUGGUGGGGUAAAGGCCUACCAAGGCGACGAUCUGUAGCGGGUCUGAGAGGAUGAUCCGCCACACUGGGACUGAGACGCGGCCCGGACUCCUACGGGAGGCAGCAGUGGGGAAUAUUGGACAAUGGGGGGAACCCUGAUCCAGCCACGCCGCGUGUGUGAAGAAGGCCUUAUGGUUGUAAAGCACUUUAAGCGAGGAGGAGGCUCUUUUGGUUAAUACCCAAGAUGAGUGGACGUUACUCGCAGAAUAAGCACCGGCUAACUCUGUGCCAGCAGCCGCCGUAA
Molecule: ribosomal RNA, 503 nt
Filed under: uncultured bacterium
Lineage: Bacteria
Description: partial 16S ribosomal RNA
Rfam family: Bacterial small subunit ribosomal RNA
Source: RNAcentral